GAUGAACGCUGGCGGCGUGCCUAAUACAUGCAAGUCGAGCGAACAGACGAGGAGCUUGCUCCUCUAACGUUAGCGGCGGACGGGUGAGUAACACGUGGAUAACCUACCUAUAAGACUGGGAUAACUUCGGGAAACCGGAGCUAAUACCGGAUAAUAUCUUGAACCGUAUGGUUCAAUAGUGAAAGACGGUUUUGCUGUCACUUAUAGAUGGAUCCGCGCCGCAUUAGCUAGUUGGCAAGGUAACAGCUUAGCAAGGCUACGAUGCGUAGCCGACCUGAGAGGGUGAUCGGCCACACUGGAACUGCGGCACGGUCCAGACUCCUACGGGAGGCAGCCGUAGGCAAUCUUCCGCAAUGGGCGAAAGCCUUACAGAGCAACGCCGCGUGAGUGAUGAAGGUCUUCGGAUCGUAAAACUCUGUUAUUAGGAAAGAACAAAUGUGUAAGUAACUAUGCACGUCUUGACGGUACCUAAUCAGAAAGCCACGGCUAACUACGUG
RNAcentral lists this ribosomal RNA (497 nucleotides) under uncultured bacterium. Its description in RNAcentral is "partial 16S ribosomal RNA". It matches the Rfam family "Bacterial small subunit ribosomal RNA", at positions 28 to 507 of the family's 1533-position model. The record is from RNAcentral.